RNAcentral lists this transfer RNA (71 nucleotides) under Macroscelides proboscideus (short-eared elephant shrew). RNAcentral describes it as "tRNA-Pro". It matches the Rfam family "tRNA". From Rfam's summary of the family: Transfer RNA (tRNA) molecules are approximately 80 nucleotides in length. Their secondary structure includes four short double-helical elements and three loops (D, anti-codon, and T loops). Lineage: Eukaryota; Metazoa; Chordata; Mammalia; Macroscelidea; Macroscelididae. The record is from RNAcentral.
CGCGCAGGAAGUAGUUUAAAUAGAAUAUCAGCUUUGGGUGCUGAUGGUGGGGUUUAGUACUCUCUUCCUGA